Molecule: long non-coding RNA, 788 nt
Organism: Penaeus vannamei (Pacific white shrimp)
Lineage: Eukaryota; Metazoa; Arthropoda; Malacostraca; Decapoda; Penaeidae
Source: RefSeq, a predicted model, not a curated record
AGAUAGAGACCCCCAAAGCCCACAGCAACUCGGUUUCCAGCUCGGAGGAACCUGAAGGCGCGUCAGGAGAGUCGCCGGUUCCUACAUCCACGCGGCACCUUGGCAAAGACCACAAGAAAUACGAGAAUUAUCCGCAUCCGAAAGGAGUCAACGAUAUCAGUGAUGAACAUCGACGCGCCAAGUCACAGGUCGGCAAAGGAUCGGGUCACCUGAACACCCUCCACCGCGGUCGUCAACCAGGAUACCCCGUUCGGCCGGACCAGGACAGCGGGGCACGCUCAGCGACGCCCCACUUGGCCCUCCUCCUCCUGCUGCCGCUCUUCUCCCUCGCCUUCUGCCCCCCCUUCAGGCUACUUUCCCUCCCUUGGUCGUCUCUGCGCCUGUAGUCGUUGCGUAGAUAGGCUUCGCUCACGGAGGAGAGUUCUGACGAAGAGAUGAGGCGAGAAAGGGUAUUGUGGGGCGUCUGUGGGUUUGUGUGUGAUCUGGAACGUGUCUUUGGGGUGUGGGUUUUAGCGUUGGGUGGUACCGUGGGCGGUGAGGUAAUAAAUGGAGGAAAUAGAAGAGAGAGAAAAGAAGGAGAGCGAGAGAAUGAGAUUAUUAUUAUUAUUGUUUUUUGUAGUUUAUUUCUACGAGAUUCUACUAAGCGAGAGUUUAGUAUCUGAUGUUUCUUUAUGAAAGACAAAAUACGAAAAAGAAAAAUAGUCACAAAAUUAUCGAAAGACGCACUACGAAAGAAAUAAAGAAGUGAAAGUGAAAAAAGAAGAAAAAAAUCAGUCAACAAAAUACCU